AACGAACGCUGGCGGCAUGCCUAACACAUGCAAGUCGAACGAGACCUUCGGGUCUAGUGGCGCACGGGUGCGUAACGCGUGGGAACCUGCCCUUAGGUUCGGAAUAACUCCCCGAAAGGGGUGCUAAUACCGGAUAAUUUCUUCGGACCAAAGAUUUAUCGCCUUUGGAUGGGCCCGCGUUGGAUUAGCUAGUUGGUAGGGUAAAAGCCUACCACGGCGACGAUCCAUAGCUGGUCUGAGAGGAUGAUCAGCCACACUGGGACUGAGACACGGCCCAGACUCUUACGGGAGGGAGGAGUGGGGAAUAGUGGACAAUGGGCGAAAGCCUGAUCCAGCAAUGCCGCGUGAGUGAUGAAGGCCUUAGGGUUGUAAAGCGCUUUUACCCGGGAUGAUAAUGACAGUACCGGGAGAAUAAGCUCCGGCUAACUCCGUG
Molecule: ribosomal RNA, 433 nt
Filed under: uncultured bacterium
Lineage: Bacteria
Description: partial 16S ribosomal RNA
Rfam family: Bacterial small subunit ribosomal RNA
Source: RNAcentral